This 624-nucleotide ribosomal RNA is filed under the name Lysobacter sp. So3Pw_1415. RNAcentral describes it as "bacterial SSU rRNA". It matches the Rfam family "Bacterial small subunit ribosomal RNA", at positions 391 to 1006 of the family's 1533-position model. The record is from RNAcentral. Lineage: Bacteria; Pseudomonadati; Pseudomonadota; Gammaproteobacteria; Lysobacterales; Lysobacteraceae.
GCCAUGCCGCGUGUGUGAAGAAGGCCUUCGGGUUGUAAAGCACUUUUGUCCGGAAAGAAAAGUUCCCGGUUAAUACCCGGGGAUCAUGACGGUACCGGAAGAAUAAGCACCGGCUAACUUCGUGCCAGCAGCCGCGGUAAUACGAAGGGUGCAAGCGUUACUCGGAAUUACUGGGCGUAAAGCGUGCGUAGGUGGUUUGUUAAGUCUGAUGUGAAAGCCCUGGGCUCAACCUGGGAAUGGCAUUGGAAACUGGCUGACUAGAGUGCGGUAGAGGGUAGUGGAAUUCCCGGUGUAGCAGUGAAAUGCGUAGAUAUCGGGAGGAACAUCUGUGGCGAAGGCGACUACCUGGACCAGCACUGACACUGAGGCACGAAAGCGUGGGGAGCAAACAGGAUUAGAUACCCUGGUAGUCCACGCCCUAAACGAUGCGAACUGGAUGUUGGGAGCAACUUGGCUCUCAGUAUCGAAGCUAACGCGUUAAGUUCGCCGCCUGGGAAGUACGGUCGCAAGACUGAAACUCAAAGGAAUUGACGGGGGCCCGCACAAGCGGUGGAGUAUGUGGUUUAAUUCGAUGCAACGCGAAGAACCUUACCUGGCCUUGACAUCCACGGAACUUUCUAGAGA